CAGCUCCACAAGUGGGAGUCGUAUUUAUUUGGCCUAAAGCGUCCGUAGCUGGUUGAGUAAAUCUCUUGUGAAAUCGUUGAGCUCAACUCAACGGCGUGCAGGAGAGACUGCUUGACUAGGGACCGGGGGGAGUCAGAAGUAUGUUAAGGGGAGCGGUAAAAUGCUAUAAUCCUUAACAGACUACCUGUGGCGAAGGCGUCUGACUAAAACGGGUCCGACAGUGAGGGACGAAAGCCAGGGGAGCAAACCGGAUUAGAUACCCGAGUAGUCC
This 271-nucleotide ribosomal RNA is filed under the name uncultured archaeon. RNAcentral's name for it is "partial 16S ribosomal RNA". It matches the Rfam family "Archaeal small subunit ribosomal RNA", at positions 477 to 747 of the family's 1478-position model. The record is from RNAcentral.